GCAAAUAUUUCUUAAAAAGUACUUACUGAAUUAUGUAAUUCUCAGCAUAACAUAGGUGUCUUUUCUUCUGCUUGAGAAAUGAUUGCUUUAUGGACAUUUAGAAGAAGAGCUAAAGGAAUUAUUUUUAUAGUAUUCCAGCUGUUAUUUUUACAAUCCAUCCAUGUAAUGAUUUUCUGAUCAGAUAUAUGUGAAGAAAAUAGUGUCAAACAUAUUAUUUAGUGUUCUUAUUUAGGCACUAUAUGAACAUAGCAUUAGAACCUCAUAUUAUGUUUCCCUGGUUACGACAUCAGUUUGAUAAACACAUUUUCUCUCUUUAUGUAUGCAUGUUUUAAGCGAAGAGUCAAGGAUGUGUUUUGACUUGUUAUGUGUCUAUGGAAAGGUCAAGAGUUGAAGAGAGAAUAUCUAUAACAAUUGGUUAUCUUGCAGUUUAUGAAUUCACUGAUGGGAAAGUUGAGUGAGCGGAGAUAGGCAGCGUCUCUUAUGUGGAUGGUGUGGGAGGUCCCAGGGUGCCCACAAGUGAGUUGUGUAUGUUCCUGAAUGUCCUGGUCAGAUAUACAGCAGUAGCAUCUUCAGGGAUGUUACACCCUUCAUGCAAAAUGAGCCAAUGCUGAGUACUCCAGAGAUACCCUGAAGGCUGUGGUGAGAAUGACAUGUCAAAAUAUCCUAUCUGCACUCUCUGAGCAGUCUAAAAGACAGCUGUUUGGGCCAUGAUUUUCUGGACCAUGAAGUUACUAGAAAAUUUGGAGUGUGUAAGCUUAAAUAAUAACCAGAUAGAAAAUAUUUCUUGGGAGCUAUGUUUUCUGCAAAGGCUCUCUGAACUUCAUCUGUCCUACAACUGUCUUGUCAUGAUACCUGAAGAGACUGUACUCAUGAAGAAUCUGAGGAUACUGCAUCAAGAAAAAAGUAAAGCGAUCUUCCAGAUAUUUAAGUACAUUACAUUAAGAAAUGAAAAUUAAGUUAUGAGCUGGAGACCGGUGGUAAUUUCAGAUGUCCAGAAGCCUUAUAUAAAUGUUUUUGCUUAUUUGACUUGAGCUUGUAAAUUGUGCCUCUGUAGGCUCCUUAAGCUCCCUAUGUGGUAAAGAGGAAAGCUGUAAUGAGGAAAAGGAAAUAUUGAUGCUACAAGCAGUUUAUGCAAGACAGAAGGUGGUGCUAGAAGAGACCCUUGCAAAUUUUGAGCAGUAAUUUUUUGUUAUCUUUUUAAUGUUAAAGAAAAUAUCAUUCUCUUGCUAAUUCAUUUUUGUCGUUGUGAGGCAGCUCCAUCAUCUUUGAAAGGUUGUGGCAAUUGUGGAUGUUCUUGGUAUUGGGGUUGAUACUGGAGCUGAUACACUUUAG
Molecule: long non-coding RNA, 1332 nt
Filed under: Apteryx rowi (Okarito brown kiwi)
Lineage: Eukaryota; Metazoa; Chordata; Aves; Apterygiformes; Apterygidae
Description: lncRNA (ENSARWG00000009352.1)
Source: RNAcentral